This is a non-coding RNA of Oryctolagus cuniculus (rabbit), 2011 nucleotides long. The record is from RefSeq and is a predicted model, not a curated record. Lineage: Eukaryota; Metazoa; Chordata; Mammalia; Lagomorpha; Leporidae.
CUUUGCCUUUUAGAUAAGCAAAAAUAAAUAAAAUUUUAAAAAUUUAACAAUAAGGGUUGGGGUACUUCCAGUAAUGCCAGCAUCCCAUAUGAGGAACAGUUUGAGUCAUGAUUGCUCUGCUUCUAAUCUGGCUCCCUGCUCAUGCACCUGAGAAGCCAGCUGAAGGUGGUCCAAGUUCUUGGGCCCCUGCCACCAUGUGGGCAACCCAGAUGAAGUUCCAUGCCCUUGGCUUUCUUCUGGCCCAGCCCUGACUGUUGCAGAUAUUUUGGGAUUGAACCAACAAAUGGAUGAUCCUUCUCUUCUCUUCUCUUCUCUUCUCUUCUCUUCUCUUCUCUUCUCUUCUCUUCUCUUCUCUUCUCUUCUCUCUCUCUCUCUCUCUACCUUUCAAAUAAAUAAAAUAUGUCUUUACAAAAUUUAUAAAAUAAAAAUUCAACAAUAAGAAAUGAACAACCCAAUUAAUAUGGGGCAGAAUACCUGAAGACACCUCACCAAAGAAGAUAUAGGAGUGGCAGGCAAAUAAGCAUAUGAAAUGUCAUUUUCUUCAUCAUACCUCAUUAAAGAAUUACAAACUAAAAAAGCAUGAUGGAACUGAUGUUGAGGGGCAAGAGAUCAAGCCACAGCUCAUGAUGCUGCAUCCCACAUCAGAGAAUCAGCUCCAGUCCAGGUUGCUCCACUUCUGAUCAAACUUCCCGAUAAAGUGCCUGGAAAACAGCAAAAAAAAAAAAAAAUGGUCCAAGGGCUUGGGCGCUGCCAUCUAUGUGGGCCAUCAGGAUGGAGUUCCUGGCUCCUGGCUACAGCCUGACCUGGCCCUGGCUGUUACAGACAUUUGGAGGGUGAACCAGCAGAUGGAAGAUACCUCCCCACUCCCCCACCCCAUCACUCUGCCUUCCAAAGAAAGAAAUCUUUGAAAAAUAACAAUAGCAGUAUUGCAUACCUCUUAGAAUGACCAAAAUACAAAGGCAGCAACAGCACCAAAUAUGGAGAAAUAGGAACUUGGAUCUGUUGACCACAGCCACAGCCACUUUGGAAGACAAUCUGACACUCUGACCAUUUCUGACAAAACAAACACAGCCAUACAAUCCAGUAAUUGUGCUCCUUGGUAUUUACCCAAAUGAGGGAGAAAUUCACACAAAUAAGUCUGCACAUGGAUGUUCCAAGCAGCUUUAUUCAUAAUUUCUGGAACUUGCAAGCAUCAAGAUGUUCUUCAGUGGGUGAAAGGAUUAAUGAGCUGUAGCACCUCCAGACAAUGAGACAUUAUUCAGUGCUACAAAGAAAUGAGCUAUCAAGCCACAGGCAGAUAAGGGAGAAUCUUACACGCAUAUCGCUAAGUGGAGGAGGCUAGUCCUAAAGUGUUGUGACCUUUAUGGCAUUCUGAAAAAGGCAGAACUAUGGAGACCAAAAAGAGAAGUGGUUUCCAUGGGUUGGGAGUACCAGGAGGAUAUGAGGCUACGCAGCAACUCCUUAUGAUUCCCUAAUGGGGGGGGAAGGGACAUAGACCUUGCUGUGCUUUGAAUGUGUCCCCUCCAGCAUUUCAGAUGUUGAGAUUCAAUGGCCAACGUGAUGUAACUAAGACAGCCUUUAAGAGGUGACCAGAUCAUGAAACUCCCUACAGCUAGGAGUGGAUUUAAGCCCAUUUCAAAGAGGGUUUAUGCAGCGUUUCGCUCUCUUGCCAGUCUGUCCUCUGCCGUGUGAAGAUAUAUGGUCACUCUCCUCUGGAGGAUGCGUCAGCAAGAUGGCAUCUUGGAAAGACAGCAUGGCAGGGCCAGCACUAUGGAAUAGCAGCUGGAUCCAGCUCCCUGCUGUUGGCCUGGAAAAGCAGUGGAAGUGUUUGGGUCCUUGCACCCAUGUGGGAGACCCAGAAGAAGCUCCUGGCUCCUGGUUUUGGAUCAGCCCAGCUCUGGCCAUUGCAGCCAUUUGGGGAGUGACCUGGCAGAUGGAAGACCUUUGUCUCUGUCUCUCCUUCUCUCUGUCUGUGACUCUACCUCUCAAAUAAAUAAAUCUUUAAAGAAAA